This 253-nucleotide ribosomal RNA is filed under the name uncultured bacterium. Its description in RNAcentral is "partial 16S ribosomal RNA". It matches the Rfam family "Bacterial small subunit ribosomal RNA", at positions 524 to 776 of the family's 1533-position model. The record is from RNAcentral.
UACGUAGGGUGCAGGCGUUAAUCGGAAUUACUGGGUGUAAAGCGUGCGCAGGCGGUUUGCUAAGACAGGUGUGAAAUCCCCGGGCUUAACCUGGGAACUGCGCUUGUAACUGGCAGGCUUGAGUGCGGCAGAGGGGGGUGGAAUUCCACGUGUAGCAGUGAAUUGCGUAGAGAUGUGGAGGAACACCGAUGGCGAAGGCAGCCCCCUGGGUCGACACUGACGCUCAUGCACGAAAGCGUGGGGAGCAAACAGG